RNAcentral lists this transfer RNA (72 nucleotides) under Sladenia gardineri. RNAcentral's name for it is "tRNA-Thr". It matches the Rfam family "tRNA". From Rfam's summary of the family: Transfer RNA (tRNA) molecules are approximately 80 nucleotides in length. Lineage: Eukaryota; Metazoa; Chordata; Actinopteri; Lophiiformes; Lophiidae. RNAcentral also lists the same sequence under 1 other name. The record is from RNAcentral.
GCAUUAGUAGCUCAGGCGGAGAGCAUCGGCCUUGUAAGCCGAAGGUCAGGGGUUAGUUUCCCCUCUUUUGCU